Molecule: ribosomal RNA, 460 nt
Filed under: uncultured bacterium
Lineage: Bacteria
Description: partial 16S ribosomal RNA
Rfam family: Bacterial small subunit ribosomal RNA
Source: RNAcentral
CCUACGUGAGGCUGCAGUGAGGAAUAUUGGUCAAUGGGCGCGAGCCUGAACCAGCCAAGUCGCGUGAGGGAGGACGGCCCUACGGGUUGUAAACCUCUUUUGCCGGGGAGCAACGGGCGUCACGUGUGGCGCCACUGAGAGUACCCGGAGAAAAAGCAUCGGCUAACUCCGUGCCGGCAGCCGCGGUAAUAGGGAGGUUGCGAGCGUUCUCCGGAUUUCUUGGGUUUAAAGGGUGCGUAGGCGGAUCGUUCAGUCAUUGGUCAACUUGAGGGGCUCAACCCCUUCCCGCCAUUGAAACUGGCGCUCUUGAGUGGAAGAGAAGUAUGCGGAAUGCGUGGUGUAGCGGUGAAAUGCAUAGAUAUCACGCAGAACCCCGAUUGCGAAGGCAGCAUGCCGGCUUCCGACUGACGCUGAAGCACGAAAGCGUGGGGAUCGAACAGGAUUAGAUACCCGAGUAGUC